This 200-nucleotide ribosomal RNA is filed under the name uncultured bacterium. Its description in RNAcentral is "partial 16S ribosomal RNA". It matches the Rfam family "Bacterial small subunit ribosomal RNA", at positions 29 to 226 of the family's 1533-position model. The record is from RNAcentral.
AACGAACGCUGGCGGCGUGGAUUAGGCAUGCAAGUCGAACGCGAAAGUUACCUUCGGGUGGCGAGUAGAGUGGCGAACUGGUGAGUACAAGGUGGCUAACCUGCCCUUGAGUGGGGGAUAACUUCGGGAAACCGGAGCUAAUACCGCAUGGUCUCUUUGUCUUUCGAGAUGGAGAGUAAAGCAGCAAUGCGCUUGAGGAU